CAAAUUUUUAUAUGGCAUGAGCUUUCCUUUUUUUAUCUGAUUUGACUGAGUUUACUGAGUGGAGACUAGAGUUGCUAACGAGUUAACAGUCUGCUCCCAAGUUGUCCAAUGGAGAGAGAAGGGUACAGUCAUAGAGGAAGAGGUGGCCGUGGAAGAGGAGGUAGUGGCGGUGUUGGCAAGGGGCAACAAUGGAUACCAACAACCCAGGGUAGAGGUGGGGCCCAGG
Molecule: unclassified non-coding RNA, 226 nt
Filed under: Hevea brasiliensis (rubber tree)
Lineage: Eukaryota; Viridiplantae; Streptophyta; Magnoliopsida; Malpighiales; Euphorbiaceae
Source: RNAcentral